ACCUGGGUGGCUCAGUUGGUUAAGCGACUGACUUUGGCUCAGGUCAUACAUGAUCUUGUGGUUCAUGAGUUCAAACCCCAUAUCAGGUU
RNAcentral lists this transfer RNA (89 nucleotides) under Felis catus (domestic cat). It matches the Rfam family "tRNA". From Rfam's summary of the family: Transfer RNA (tRNA) molecules are approximately 80 nucleotides in length. Lineage: Eukaryota; Metazoa; Chordata; Mammalia; Carnivora; Felidae. The record is from Rfam by way of RNAcentral.